This 167-nucleotide unclassified non-coding RNA is filed under the name uncultured Agaricales. RNAcentral's name for it is "sequence contains ITS2". Lineage: Eukaryota; Fungi; Basidiomycota; Agaricomycetes; Agaricales. The record is from RNAcentral.
GUGUCUCAACCACACCGUGAGGUGUGGCUUGGAUUUGGGGGUUACAGGCUCUGAAUUUGUAGUCUGCUCCCCUUAAAUGCAUGAGUGGUAACGACCUCUCCGUCAAGAUGUGAUACAUAUCUGCAUCUAGUAGGGUUUUGCUGCUAUACAAGAGUUGGAUUUGAUAA